Leptonychotes weddellii (Weddell seal) is the source of this 1397-nucleotide non-coding RNA. NCBI's taxonomy places the organism in Eukaryota, Metazoa, Chordata, Mammalia, Carnivora, Phocidae. The record is from RefSeq and is a predicted model, not a curated record.
UACAGUGAUGAAUGGGGCCGGAUGAAGUCAUCCUGCUCCUCCAAUCAGGCUGCUCCGAGAGAGCCAGGGGCCUCUGCAGAUCCAGCCGAGCUGCGGGCUGCUCUCAUGUACCUUUAGACAGAGGCUGUGAGUCUCUGGGAGUGGAGUGGGGGGGUGUGAACCGCCCGCUCCUGGCUCCUGUGUAGGCCUCAGUCAGUCUGAAUGUUAUUGCAAGGCCAAGCAGAGAUCAUGGAGCCGGCUGAUAUGGCGACAGCAAAGCACUGCCAGUAACUCAAACCGCAGCACGCCGGCCUGCUCCCCCAUCCUCCGGAAACGGUCUCGCUCGCCAACCCCGCAGAGCCCGGACGGAGACACCAUGGUGGAGAAGGGCUCGGAUCACUCCUCCGACAAGUCCCCGUCCACGCCGGAGCAGGGUGUGCAGCGCAGCUGCUCAUCACAGUCUGGCCGGAGUGGCGGCAAAAAUUCCAAGAAAAGCCAGAGUUGGUAUAAUGUAAGUAUCCCUGUUUCUCUUCUUGUUGGGUACACGGGAAGCGGGUGGGGGAUGGGAAUGGUCGGGAAAUGGAGAGGCACCGAGUGCAGUUCGGCUGCCCCAUGGGCUUGAGCCAGUUGAGGGGCCCCUGGCCAGCCCCCACCCUCAAACUCACUGGUUAUCCUCUGCAGCAGGACAGGACUGCUGGUGAAGGAGGAGUUGAUUCAGGGAGACCAAGGAGGGCCAGCCCUCCUUAUCCUCCCCUAGACUCCUGGACAGGGCUCCUCCAGCCCCAGUGAAGGGGACUGGCUGGGGGAGGCAUCCAAAGACCAGAUGGAAUUCUGGGACUGGGUCAGCCCCGGGGCCUGAACUUAGGACCAAAGUUUCCUUCCUUUAGCUGACACAUUUUGGGGGCAAUGCAGCCAGAAGACUUUUCCCCGUUAGUAGAGAGGCCGUCCCAUGUAAUGGAAUUUGACUUCUGCCCCAAGACCCACCUGCACUGCCCUAAGGGACGUGUGCCUUCUAGAAGACAUCCACUACUCUUGGGUCUGUGGUGAAGGUGUAGCCUGGGGUCGUCCGUGGUGGUGGCUCAGCCAGCCGCUUCAUAGCCAGAAAUUGUGUUGUGGACUAAGCAGUCCCGUCCAAGACCACAACCCCCAUCACACAGACUGGGCUGCAGCGUUUUGAACUUUUCCUCUGGAGGGCAGCUGACCGAAGUCUCAGCCAGCCCCCACCACAUUGUACUCUGCCCUCUGGGACUGCACCGCGGAGGGCCUGGCCUCAGGUCCCCAUCGCUCUGCCCCGAGCCUGCAUUUCCCCACACUUGCGUCUGCUUGAUCAUGCAGGUACCACCCCUCUGCCUCCCCUGGCACCGGGCUGUACUCCAGCAGGUUUCGUGGGCAUGCGGAAAGUGGGGGAGAAGGUGGCU